UUCCCUGAACUCGCCAUCUGGCUCCGUUUUCAAGACGGGAGAAGAAACAGUUUCAUGCCCACCUGCCCGCGGCGUCUCCUCUCGGGCACCCCUCCGCCCCGGCCCCCAGCCCCUGCCAGGCGCACGAGCUGCUGCCGGCAUCCACGGUCCCGCCCGCUCCGGGCUCGGGGCCGGCAGCUCCCCCGGCGGCCGCCUCUGCACCAGUCGCCAACCUCCGCGCCCGGCCGAGGUCAUGCCCGCCUGCCCCCGGCUCCGGCGAGCCCCCUCCCGGUGCCAGUCGGCAAGCCGGAGAAGCGCCGGCAGGGAAGGGGGUCCGUAGCAGAGUUGGCACCCGGACUCACCAGCAAUGAAAAAGACCUGAUCCGGAUGUGGAACACUGCCUGACACCUCCCCAAACUGCUCUCCGACGUUUCUAGGCAGGUAGUGAAGGACGGAGCGAGGGAAAGGUAAUAGCGUAACUCUGACUCUGGAUUAUACGGAUUAUACGCAGCUGGAGAACCAGGAAAACCAGCAGCAUGACUGAAUGCAGGGCUGUAGACUUGAGAAUAAGAACUGAUGGUCUGAUCUACAGUGGUACAGAAAUGCUGUUGGAAUCUACAGGCAAAAGAAACUUGGAGAGAUGACAUGCAACGGAGAGGUUUGUGUCUGCUUCCAAAGAGCAGGACCAGCAAAGCUUGGUGGAGAAGAAGAAUGACUUUCAUUUCAUCUCAUCUGCACGAGCUCUCCUGUAACUCACCAGUUCUGCAAUGGAGCGAAGUGGACAGUUCUUCAUUGUGCACCUUUAUCAUGCAACUCUUAAAGCAGAACGCUGAAAAUACAAGAAUAGGUGCUUGACCUUAUAGUGAUCUAGCACAUCACCUCUCUGAGUCCUGAGGCAGCCACACUAGCGGGGAAGCCCUGGGUACGGCUAUUGUAAGACCAUAUCAUGAAAGAGAUGCUUUUUGGCCGUCACGUAUCAGAAGUCACAGAAAACACCUCUGGAGAAGAGCUGGAUAGGCACUGGAUUGUGCUCAGAUGAAGAGGAUUGCUGAAGUGGUGCCUGCCACACACAAGCUUGAAAGGGUGCUUACACAAACCUAUUUCCAAACCUACUUCUCCAAUGCCAUGCUUCUUAAUCCACUCAAGUUUUGACAUCCCAAAUCAACCAACCCAAGUGUUUCUGUCCGUUUAUAUUGCUGCAACAAAAUGCUUAACACUGGCUAACUUAGAGGAGCAGAACUUUAUUUAUCCUUGUGCAGUCCAAAAUCAAGGUACUGUCAGAUUGCCCAAUGAGGGCGAUGCUCCUCUUCCAAAAUGGCAUGAAGGAAAAUGAUGGCAUGGGCUCCUACUGUGGGAUAUUCAUUUUCACUGCUGGUACCCAACCUCUCCCAUGCCGUUGGUGCUCAGUGGAGUGCUGAUGAGAUGCUGUCUUCACUGUGAGCGUGACUGUCCUCUCAAUAAAGGAACU
This is a long non-coding RNA of Microtus oregoni (creeping vole), 1447 nucleotides long. RefSeq lists it as uncharacterized. The record is from RefSeq and is a predicted model, not a curated record. NCBI's taxonomy places the organism in Eukaryota, Metazoa, Chordata, Mammalia, Rodentia, Cricetidae. The transcript has 4 exons.